This is a long non-coding RNA of Melitaea cinxia (Glanville fritillary), 92 nucleotides long. RefSeq lists it as uncharacterized. Lineage: Eukaryota; Metazoa; Arthropoda; Insecta; Lepidoptera; Nymphalidae. The record is from RefSeq and is a predicted model, not a curated record. The transcript has 3 exons.
AUUGUAAUAAUAAUUUCUUCUUAACACUUUCACGCGAACAAGUCAAUAUUGUAGCUCUAUGCGAUAUUGCACAUCAUUUUUUCAUAUAAAUU